Long non-coding RNA from Lathyrus oleraceus (garden pea), 3446 nucleotides. RefSeq lists it as uncharacterized. The transcript is spliced from 5 exons. NCBI's taxonomy places the organism in Eukaryota, Viridiplantae, Streptophyta, Magnoliopsida, Fabales, Fabaceae. The record is from RefSeq and is a predicted model, not a curated record.
ACGUUGGAUCAAGGGUUUGUUUAUUGUUUUUGACUUGAGAAAGAGACCGCUUGACGUUGGAUCAAGGGUUUGAUUAUCGAUUUUGAAUGAUGCGCGUUCCUAAUGCCUAAGGAGUAGCUAACGAGCAAUAAAAGAAAGCGAGUAAAUGCGUACACGAUAAAGGGGAGGGGGUACAUGUAAAGUACAAGGGAUUGCAGGAAAUAAAAGGUCUCAUUGUCAGGUAGUCCAAGAGAAGCCAUGCGUGUGCAAUUGUGUUAUAAAUGGAAAAACAAGUAAAAGAUUACAAUUGAUAUUACAAAUUCUUCUUGAUUCUUGCAUGCUUCUUCCAUGUUAGGCCACAUUUGUCCAAGGUCUCUUUUGCAAAGGGUCCUAAUGAGUCUCUAAGUCCAUUGUCCAAAGUCCUCUCCAUGCUUGGAAAAUUAUCUUGUUUUUUGUAUUUUUUAAGUCUUUGCCUUUUUUAUGUUCAUUUUAGAAUGAGAUGAAUAUGAUGGAAUAUAGAUGCAUAAUAUGAUAAAAGCAAAAUAAAAAAAAAAAGUAAAAGUGCGUAAAGUAAAUGACCAAAAUUAAAGGUUAGGAGCGAAAAUUAAAAGCGGAAAAUUAAAGGAGUUAGAAGCGGAAUUGUAAAGAGUUAGAUGUUAGAAGGCGGAAAUUAAAUGUUAGAGUUAAUUGUUAGAAGGUUAAUCAAAAUUAAUCCACAUAAGAGAAUUAAGUCCAACUAUCGAAUUCUAAAAAGUUAACAAAAUAAAAUCUCCACAAUUAUCAACCAAUGAAAAUCCAACAACUCACACAAGUUCCAAUUAUUAAAAUAAACUCUAAACCAAUACAAAGAAAUUCUAAACAUUACCAAAUCAACUUCCACACAAUUAAUCAACUCAUUCUAAAACAAAUUUAAAUCGCUUUAAAAUUCUAAUUAGUUCAAAAAUUAAUCUAAACUAUCCUAAGAUUGACCUAAAAUUGUUUUAAGCUUAUCCUAAUUAGUAUAUUAAACUAAUCCUAAAUCACCUAAUUAAUCCUAAAAUUACUUAAGCCUAGGCCUAAUCCUAAUUAUACCAAAGAUGACAAAAACAAGCAGCCAACUGGAUCAAAGGAAACGUAAUAUGGGCCUAAUAGCAGGGGGUGUGGGUAGUGAAGUACCAUAGGCCCUAUCAACUCCAAUGCCUAAACGCGUUUGCUGGAAGCAGGAGGAAGCGCUUAUUCAGAUAAGCGAAAAAGCACUUCCCAACGACGGUCAUCGCUUCUCCACCGCUGGCACACCAGGUCUCAUACGGAGACUCUACGUGAAGCUUCUAAACAAAAACGCAGCUGUGACAAAACGAUGCCCUCAAGCUAUGGCUCCUACCUCCACAAUUCGAUACAUCACUAUGGCGAGCGAACCAGAGCAUAAGCAUAUGGAUUAAGAGAGCUACCUGUCGAAGAUGACGAUGAUGACGAAGAUCACCGGUAUGCUUCCGAUCCACUUUUGAGCGCCUAUCUUCUUCUUCUCUUAAUGCCGAGAUGCUCCUUCCGUAUCUGAAGCGUGUGAGUGAUGAUGACCGUCGAACCUUGAAGCUUCCGGUGGUGGUUUAGCUCUGCCGUGUAGAGCUUCGAGUGAUGAAACUCUCACAGUAAUGGGAAUGAACGUGUGCUAGGGGUUGGGAGUGAUUACAAGAUUCUUUGUGGAUUGAGGAAAAAUCUUCUAAACCUAAUGAUUGGCAAUGAUUGCCUCUUAUAUAGCGUGAUCCAAGAGGGCAAUUUGGAGAAUUAAGUCUGAAUGGUUAAAUCUGAAUCGUCCAGCUGGCAUCUAAGUGAAGGACACAUGUUGUCAUGGAAUUGGUAUUGCACACCGUCUGCUUUGCACUACAGAGGUCAAGCCAAGGACUACAAAGGUUAGGCUUUGAAGCCUUAUUGCAGGUUACAUCUGUGUUGAAAUGGCCUUGCUGCAAGCAUCGUGUUUCCAUCUGAUGACAGGGCUUGGAGCAAUUCAGUCUUGGCGAAAGGUUCCAAUUGCUGAUUGCUCGCAUAGGAUUCUUGUAAAGUGACUCAGUUGGGCUGUCUUGCAUCAGGCCUUUCAAGGUUUGUUUGGUGUUUAUGGAUGUGAGGUCAAGCACAUGUCUGCAGCAGGUAUAAUUAAAGACCCUAUGCAGUCUCACUGUUAUGCAUUCCGCUGCAGGUUAAUCAUGGCUUCGAUUUCCAACCUCCUGCAGUACUCACCUGUUGCUGCCUCAGCUUCUCUUUCGGUUUCAAUAAGUUGACUGUUAAUUCUUUCUUCCAUGUCCUCUAAAUAUGCAUCUUGAUAAACCCCAACAGAAUUUUGCGGAGAACAAUAACUGCUACCACGGAACGAUUUGGAUGAAUUAGUGGCUUCAGUUUCUAUGAUUUCACCCAGGUUCAAGCUUCUAAUUCCAGAACAUACUGUAGUUCUAGCAGAAUUUGGUUGAAGAUAUUCCGAAUGGGGUAAUUCGUUCUUACCAUUUUGAGAAGAUCUAAAUCUCAAGCUUUCUGUUGCUGCAAUUUCAGGUUGAGUCCCUGAAGACAAAGAACAUGGUUUUUUCAGAAGCCUCUCUUGUCCAAAUGUGUCUGCCUUCUAAUUCUGGUUCAUUUCCUUGCCAUGCACUUUUAUUGGCCUUGUCGUGCAUUAUGGUACAAGGCUGUUUUUUGCAGGUUAUGCUGUGUUGGUCUGCUGCAGGAUACUCAUGAUGAUGGUUAUGAGGUCGAGUGCCGGUCUGCAACAGGUAUGUAAUGACUACCAUUCUGCAGCAUGACUGCAACCUGAAGCUUAUGGCCAAUGCAGGUAGCAUACAUUGUCUGAUGAAAUGGUUUUGAGAUGCUCACCUUGGUUCAACUUUUGCUUGGUUCUGCACAGCAGGGAGCUUUGUCCAUUGCAGCAUAUGGCUUGGCUCAUGAUCAGAUAGGUUAGAAUGAAUUGCAGCAAAGUGUUGCAAAAUUCUACAAUUUUUCAUGACAGGUUGGAUGCGAUCCUAUAAUAGGUAUGGUGACAACUUGGUCAGCAAGGUGGCAAAGCACCCCAAACCUUUACAUUGCUUGAUAACUGUGGAUGCCAAGCCCUGUAUGAAACUGCUGAAUGGCUUUGGUCUCCCUUGUAGGCCAUGAAUGCAUAUGGUUAUGGCGAUUAGUUGAACAAAGCGACACGGUGGCCAAAAUUGAGUUUUAUGACCACUCACAACACAUGGCAAACCAAAAAACCACAGUCAAAGAUUAAAGAUUGAGAAUGGAAUCAGAAUUGGGAUUGGGGAUAUAGGGUUUUAGGAAUUCGGGGAAUUGGGUUGACUUUGGUCAAAGUUGACCAGAAAGUCAACUGUUGACAAAAAAGUCAACUGUUGGUCAAAAAGUCAACUGUUGGUCAACACAUCUUUAUUUGUAUUUUUUCCUUGUAAUGAACCUUUUAUGAUCAUGUAAUGAAUGACAUUUCUUCAUUUGAAUGAACUUGGAUUGGUAUUUGAACUGAA